GAUGAACGCUGGCGGCGUGCCUAAUACAUGCAAGUCGAACGCAUUGAGAGAAGUGCUUGCACCUUUCAAUUUGAGUGGCGAACGGGUGAGUAACACGUGGGCAACCUACCUGAUAGCGGGGGAUAACGAGUGGAAACAUUCGCUAAUACCGCAUAACAAUAGAGAAGGCAUCUUCUUUAUUUAAAAGGCGCUUUCAAGCGUCACUAUCAGAUGGGCCCGCGGUGCAUUAGUUAGUUGGUGGGGUGAAGGCCUACCAAGACGAUGAUGCAUAGCCGAGUUGAGAGAGUGAUCGGCCACAUUGGGACUGAGACACGGCCCAAACUCCUACGGGAGGCUGCAGUAGGGAAUCUUCCACAAUGGACGAAAGUCUGAUGGAGCAACGCCGCGUGUGUGAUGAAGGCUUUCGGGUCGUAAAGCACUGCUGUAUGGGAAGAAAUGCUAGGCUAGGAAAUGAGCUUAGUUUAACGGUACCAUACCAGAAAGGGACGGCUAAAUACGUGCCAGCCGCCGCCGUAA
This 516-nucleotide ribosomal RNA is filed under the name uncultured bacterium. RNAcentral describes it as "partial 16S ribosomal RNA". It matches the Rfam family "Bacterial small subunit ribosomal RNA", at positions 28 to 523 of the family's 1533-position model. The record is from RNAcentral.